UACCCCGUAGCUCAUACAGUGGUUAGAGCGACCGGUGUACGGACGGUCAUGGGUUCAAAUCCCGUCGGGGAUUCAA
Molecule: non-coding RNA, 76 nt
Organism: Desmophyllum pertusum
Lineage: Eukaryota; Metazoa; Cnidaria; Anthozoa; Scleractinia; Caryophylliidae
Source: the annotation of a GenBank genome assembly